GAGAGUUAAAUAGUACGUGAAAUUGUUGAAAGGGAAACGAUUGAAGUCAGUCAUGCUAGUGAAAAAUCAGUUUGACGGGUUUUGAGUUCAGGAGUAGAGGCAGGGUCAAACCGUUUCUCUUUUGGACUUGGGAUUUGUUAGAUGUACUUUUUCUUUGGCAGGUCAGCGUCGAUUUCGGAGGUUGUAAAAUACUUGGGGGAAAGUAACUCUGCUUCGGGAGAGUAUUAUAGACCCUGGGGGAUGCAGCCUGCGGGAUCGAGGAUUGCAGCAAAUGCCUUUGGCUUGUCGCCUGAUCUCUGGAUGUUACCUCGCUUGUGACAACAUUCUUGCCACCUGUGGGUACUAAUGCCCAUUAGGUUAGAGCGAUCAAAAAUUUUGCUAAGGAUGCUGACGUAAUGGCUUUAAACGA
RNAcentral lists this ribosomal RNA (409 nucleotides) under uncultured Diversispora. RNAcentral describes it as "partial 28S ribosomal RNA". Lineage: Eukaryota; Fungi; Glomeromycota; Glomeromycetes; Diversisporales; Diversisporaceae. The record is from RNAcentral.